Molecule: transfer RNA, 69 nt
Filed under: Marmota marmota marmota (Alpine marmot)
Lineage: Eukaryota; Metazoa; Chordata; Mammalia; Rodentia; Sciuridae
Also listed under: 3 other names
Rfam family: tRNA
About the family: Transfer RNA (tRNA) molecules are approximately 80 nucleotides in length.
Source: Rfam by way of RNAcentral
GGGGCUGGGGCUCAGUGGCAGAGCGCUUGCCUAGCACACAUGAGGCCCUGGGUUCGAUCCUCAGCACCA